CCUACGGGGGGCUGCAGUGGGGAAUAUUGCACAAUGGGCGCAAGCCUGAUGCAGCCAUGCCGCGUGUGUGAAGAAGGCCUUCGGGUUGUAAAGCACUUUCAGCGGGGAGGAAGGCGGUGAGGUUAAUAACCUCAUCGAUUGACGUUACCCGCAGAAGAAGCACCGGCUAACUCCGUGCCAGCAGCCGCGGUAAUACGGAGGGUGCAAGCGUUAAUCGGAAUUACUGGGCGUAAAGCGCACGCAGGCGGUCUGUCAAGUCGGAUGUGAAAUCCCCGGGCUCAACCUGGGAACUGCAUUCGAAACUGGCAGGCUAGAGUCUUGUAGGGGGGGGUAGAAUUCCAGGUGUAGCGGUGAAAUGCGUAGAGAUCUGGAGGAAUACCGGUGGCGAAGGCGGCCCCCUGGACAAAGACUGACGCUCAGGUGCGAAAGCGUGGGGAGCAAACAGGAUAGAUACCCUUGUAGUC
This 464-nucleotide ribosomal RNA is filed under the name uncultured Klebsiella sp. RNAcentral's name for it is "bacterial SSU rRNA". It matches the Rfam family "Bacterial small subunit ribosomal RNA", at positions 338 to 795 of the family's 1533-position model. Lineage: Bacteria; Pseudomonadati; Pseudomonadota; Gammaproteobacteria; Enterobacterales; Enterobacteriaceae. The record is from RNAcentral.